RNAcentral lists this transfer RNA (108 nucleotides) under Cubamyces sp. BRFM 1775. RNAcentral describes it as "Leiotrametes sp. BRFM 1775 tRNA-Lys". It matches the Rfam family "tRNA". Rfam says of the family: Transfer RNA (tRNA) molecules are approximately 80 nucleotides in length. Their secondary structure includes four short double-helical elements and three loops (D, anti-codon, and T loops). Further hydrogen bonds mediate the characteristic L-shaped molecular structure. tRNAs have two regions of fundamental functional importance: the anti-codon, which is responsible for specific mRNA codon recognition, and the 3' end, to which the tRNAs corresponding amino acid is attached (by aminoacyl-tRNA synthetases). tRNAs cope with the degeneracy of the genetic code in two manners: having more than one tRNA (with a specific anti-codon) for a particular amino acid; and 'wobble' base-pairing, i.e. permitting non-standard base-pairing at the 3rd anti-codon position. Lineage: Eukaryota; Fungi; Basidiomycota; Agaricomycetes; Polyporales; Polyporaceae. The record is from RNAcentral.
GCCCGCCUAGCUCAAUCGGAUAGAGCGUCAGACUCUUACGAGGGCGGGAUCUGUUCUGUCCUCACCAGGGCUAUCUGAAGGCUGCGAGUUCGACCCUCGCGGUGGGCU